Ictidomys tridecemlineatus (thirteen-lined ground squirrel) is the source of this 69-nucleotide non-coding RNA. The record is from Rfam. NCBI's taxonomy places the organism in Eukaryota, Metazoa, Chordata, Mammalia, Rodentia, Sciuridae.
GGGGUUGUAGCUCACUGGUAGAGCAUGCGCCUUGCAUGUGUGAGGCAUGGGGUUCGAUCCUCAGCACCA